Molecule: long non-coding RNA, 4441 nt
Filed under: Salvia miltiorrhiza (redroot sage)
Lineage: Eukaryota; Viridiplantae; Streptophyta; Magnoliopsida; Lamiales; Lamiaceae
Description: long non-coding RNA (SMIL_LNC007208)
Source: RNAcentral
ACAUAAACUCUAGAAUGAUGGAAUCGGCUGAACCAAAUAUCUGCUUACCUGAGAUUGCAAAGGAAGAAAAUCCCAAGUCUAGGAAAUUGAGUUUGAAAGUGAUGAUACAAAAGUCUUCGGGUAAGUUUUUGUAUGCUCAAGCUAAGGAUGAGUUUGUGGAGUUCCUGUUUAGUUGCCUCCAUAUUCCACUAGGAGGAGUUGAGCAUCUUCUUUCCGGCAAGGCUUGCGUUACGGCUAUAGACAACUUGUACCGGAGCACACUCGAUGUUAUAGAUGACAAGUAUUUCAAGACAAAUACUAUGAAAGAGAGACUAACGAAACCUAAUGUGGUUCAUGGUUGUAUUUCCAAAGACCACAUUCUUCCCCUCGUUGAAGAACCCUUGCCUGAUGCUUACUUUAUUGAAGAUGAUUUCUAUCCUUUUUCUAAGUUUCCCAAAGGCCCUGGGCGUUAUCUAAGAGGACCGCGAACUUAUGAGGUAAAGGAUGAUUUAACUGUGGUGCCCUUUUGUAUUGUCUCCAUUCAUUCCGGUCUCAGGGCGAAGAGAAUCUCCAUAUCUGAUGUCGAAGAAGUGGAGAUGCAAAUCGGACUCAAAGAGGUAAUACAAUUAGAAAUCUGUGUCAUUUGAUUCAUUGUGUGUAUGUUUAGAUGUUGAGAUGAAUUGUGUUGGUGCAGGCUUGUAGCAUACUGAAAGCCUCCCUUACUUCUUCUACUGCUCUCACUGAUGCUCUACUGAGUGGCAAAUCGUUCGAACAACCUCAGAGAGAAGAAGAAGUCUGCGUGUGAUAUGAUAUCCAUGCUUCCAAUUAUUUUGCUGCUCCUGUGUGUUGCAAUGCCAAUUGUGCUUCUUUUUUUAUUUUGAAUUAUGGAUCUUGCUACUCCAAUCAUUUUGUCCUGUAAGAAAUGACUUUAUGGAGGCUUGUAUUUUGGCUGUUAGUUAUGUUUUUCAAACUUUUUCACUAAUUAAUGCAACAUGGGCUUUAUUUAUGACUCACUCCCUUUACAAUAUUGUUUUCACUUUUGUCAUUUUGGUCCGUUCACAAUAUCAUUUUCAUUUAUGUUUAUAGUAAUAGAGUCCAUAAACUUCAUUAACAACAAUAGUGAAAUCCAAACUUCACUCACAAUAAUACCAAUUACUAUCCACCAUUUUUCUAAAACUCCUGCCGUCCAUAAAAUUGAAUCGAUAUCUUCAACGGAGAAAGUAUAAUUUUACAUAAAGACAAAAAUGAUAAAAAUAAUUCUUUUUGUUGGAUAGAGGAAGCACUUGUAAGAUUUUACAAUAAAUUUGUGGCCACAUUAUGACUGGCCAUAAAUUAAUCAAAUUACAAAAAAAGUGAUUUAUAUAGAAUUUCGGUUCAAAAUAUAAUUGGAGUUUCAAUAUUGUGUACAUAUUGUAGCUAUUUUUUAUUUUUUUAAAAAUAAAAUAUUGAAAACUACAAUAUGCACAGAAUUCUAUUUUGAUUUAAAAAAAAAAAUCAUUUUUUUUUAAUUUGGUUGAUUUUAUGGCUGGCCAUAAACCCAAACAGUACCACUCUAUAUUUUAAUAUUGAAUUUCUUCCAUAAGUGGCUUCCACUGAAAGACUCAAAGACACUUUUGACUUUUGUCUCAGAAAAUCAGGCCUUUGAAGACCAUCUUCAAAUAGAUAGAACUCUAAAAAAGGGGCUCACGGAAAAGUGGUUGCGAAGCUCUUUCCGGCCUCUACUUUCAUCCACCGCCGCCACAAACUUCUAUUUCCGGCCACCAAAGUUAAGGUAAUUUUUAGUUAUCAAAGACUUGUUAUCAUUUCUUCUUUGCAAGCUUACCUUUUGCAGUUGUUAACACACACUAGAUCCAUACAUUGUUGAAGUGGUAUGAUGUCAUAAGAUUGUUUUACAUGAAUAUAUCUUAGAAGAGAUUUUAGCUCAUCAAGAUCAAAGAAAGGUUUAAGCUUGUAUCCUUGUACGAAAACUUGAGCUUUAUAUUUUGGCAAUAAUUUAGUUUAGUUUUCUUAAUUAUCUAAUCUUUAGUAAUAACUUAAGUUUUAUUUAUAGAUCUGAAGAAGAGGUCUGGCGUCCAUCCAUCAUCAUCUCCAUUUUGUUCAAUAAAAUGGUGAACAAAAUAAACGAAAUAAAUUCUGAAGGAUCUUCAUCCGGGGUACCCGUGGUAAGAGUCUACAAUUUCGAUUCCAAUCUAUGAAUCUAUCACCGCAAGUGUUCUAUUUUUUUAAUAAUUUCGUAAUUGCAUGCUUAGAUUGCUCAAAUAUGGGAAGAAUUAGGGCUUAUGUAUUUUAGGGCUUAUGUAUUUUAGUUGGAAUUCAGAAGUAGAAAAUAUGUAGGCCAUAUUCUUAGUUUGUAGAUUUCUUAGGAUAAAAAAGCAUCUUUAGUUGAGGGUUGAGGUGUGGUUUAACAGAAUAAGAAGGGUUUUUAGGCUAAGGGGAUAAGUUAGAUUUGUUAACAUGUAACAAAAGUAAAGUAUUUGUACAUAGUAGAUUUCUUAAUUAGGGCUUGUGUAUUUUAGGAAUUUGAAUCUCUAUUGUGUAAAUUUUGAUAUAAAGAAAGUUUUUCUUCAAGUGUGCCAUUUGAUCAAAUACCUUUACUGAACUUUUACAAAUUCUUAAAUCAUCAAUGCAGAAACGAAAGUGGAUUCAGGAGACUUCUUCUCAGGUAAUUUUUUUCAUAUGUUUUAAAGAUAGUUUUUCUUCAAGUGUGCCAUUUGAUCAAAUACCUUUACUGAACUUUUACAUACCUUAAAUCAUCAAUGCAGAAACGAAAGCGGAUUCAGGAGACUUCUUCUCAGGUUUUUUCUUAUAAUCAAAAAGUAAACAGAAAAAUCAAUCGAAAUUCGAAAAAAUAUUUUAUUUUGUAAGAGUUCUAAUUAUCAUACUAGGUUAUGAAGUUCUUUUACGAAAGUUUAUAUAGCUUAUUAGUAGUAAAUAAACAUCACUUAGGGUCCCACAAUAUAUAGCUUAACCUAAUGGCUUGUAAAUUUUGAAAUGCAGAAACGAAAGCGGAUUCAGGGGACUUCUUCCCAGGUAUUUUCUUCAUAUGUUUUAAAGAUAGUUUUUCUUCAAGUGUGUCAAUUGAAUAUCUUUACUGAACUUUUACAUACCUUAAAUCAUCAAUGCGGCUAUAUCAACUCCGGUAGGUCUUGGAAUUUGGUGUGGCUAUAUUAACUCUUGCAUAAUUAAUCUCAUGCUCACAAGUAGGGAGUAAAUGCGGAAGGUCUCGGAAUCUGGAGGGACUAUCGACUAUUACUUUAACUUCUUCCACCAUUGAAAUACUCCAUCUUUAUCCCUCAUUAGUCUUUGUUUUGUACCACUAAUACUAACACAAUGUCUGAUUCUAAACAGGAUGUGAAGCUCUCGUUGAAAGUGAUUACAAAUAAACAGAGAAAUAAGGUUCUCUUUGCAGAAGCCGACAACCAUUUUGUCGACACUCUGUUGAGCUUCUUAACUUUGCCGUUGGGAAGAAUCAUCCAACUCCUCGACAACCACUGUGGCGAUGAGGCACCCGCCAUUGGAAGCUUAAGCAGUUUGUACCACAGCUUAGCAAAUCUCGAUACCUCCCAUUUCUGGACAGAGGGAGCUAAGGAGGCUCUGCUCAAUCCAAAAAGUUCAGCCGAAGUUGAAUACGAAAUGCUGAAACUCGAUAUCAGUGAUUCUCCGCCCGCACGAUAUUUCGAUUGUUAUGGGAUCCGUUAUACAUUUCGCAGUGAAAGCAUGUACUAUGAUAAGGCCAGAUGCAGCUUAUGCAAUUGGUUACAUUAUGUGGUGGAAGAAAAAGGCGGAGAGCAUGCGUGUCCUUCUGGAAGUUUCAUCACUAAUAUAGCAUCAUCUUUCAUAAUCUCCGAUGAUCUGCAGAUAUUCCCCAUUGUGACAGGACUUUGUCAAAUCGUCACCAUUCUUGGCAUUAAAGACGCGGAUGAGGCUGGGGCUGAGGCGAACGAAGUGACGAUUGGGUUGAAUGAGGUGAUUCUUGAUUCUCUGUGACUCUAUCUACAGUUUCAUUCUUUUUCUGUUUUUGCUUACAACUCUUUUGAUUACAUAUUGUGAUUAGAUGUUGAGUCUGCUGAAGGCUUCCUUCAUUUCCCCAACUCCAUUGUCAAACCUCAUACUAAAUAAAGCAAGUGUAAUUCUUGAUUCUGAGCCGAAGAUCACUUCAGUUGAUCACAUUGAAAUCCAAGAAAAUCCCAAUUCGAAGAACAUAGUAUUGAAGGUGAUGGUGCAGAAGUCUAGUGGGAAGGUUUUGUAUGCUCAAGCUGAGGAAGAUUUUAUCGACUUUCUAGUUAGUCUUCUGUAUAUCCCACUAGGAGGCGUUCACCAUCUUCUUUCUAGUAAGACUUGUAUUAAGGCUUUAGACAACUUGUACCGGAGCGCAGCUGAUCUCAAACACAAGUAUUUCAAGUGCCCAGCUAUGAGAAACAAGCUAAUGAAACCUAAUGUGGUUCAUGGUUGUAUUUCCGAA